GUGGGGAAUAUUGGACAAUGGGCGAAAGCCUGAUCCAGCCAUGCCGCGUGUGUGAAGAAGGUCUUCGGAUUGUAAAGCACUUUAAGUUGGGAGGAAGGGCAGUAAGUUAAUACCUUGCUGUUUUGACGUUACCGACAGAAUAAGCACCGGCUAACUUCGUGCCAGCAGCCGCGGUAAUACGAAGGGUGCAAGCGUUAAUCGGAAUUACUGGGCGUAAAGCGCGCGUAGGUGGUUUUGUAAGUUGGAGGUGAAAUCCCCGGGCUCAACCUGGGAACUGCCUCCAAAACUACAUGACUAGAGUACGGUAGAGGGUAGUGGAAUUUCCUGUGUAGCGGUGAAAUGCGUAGAUAUAGGAAGGAACACCAGUGGCGAAGGCGACUACCUGGACUGAUACUGACACUGAGGUGCGAAAGCGUGGGGAGCAAACAGGAUUAGAAACCCCGGUAGUCC
Molecule: ribosomal RNA, 450 nt
Filed under: uncultured bacterium
Lineage: Bacteria
Description: partial 16S ribosomal RNA
Rfam family: Bacterial small subunit ribosomal RNA
Source: RNAcentral